GAUGAACGCUGGCGGCGUGCCUAAUACAUGCAAGUCGAGCGAACAGACGAGGAGCUUGCUCCUCUGACGUUAGCGGCGGACGGGUGAGUAACACGUGGAUAACCUACCUAUAAGACUGGGAUAACUUCGGGAAACCGGAGCUAAUACCGGAUAAUAUAUUGAACCGCAUGGUUCAAUAGUGAAAGACGGUUUUGCUGUCACUUAUAGAUGGAUCCGCGCCGCAUUAGCUAGUUGGUAAGGUAACGGCUUACCAAGGCGACGAUGCGUAGCCGACCUGAGAGGGUGAUCGGCCACACUGGAACUGAGACACGGUCCAGACUCCUACGGGAGGCAGCAGUAGGGAAUCUUCCGCAAUGGGCGAAAGCCUGACGGAGCAACGCCGCGUGAGUGAUGAAGGUCUUCGGAUCGUAAAACUCUGUUAUUAGGGAAGAACAAAUGUGUAAGUAACGAUGCACGUCUUGACGGUACCAAUCAGAAAGCCACGGCUAACUACGUG
This 496-nucleotide ribosomal RNA is filed under the name uncultured bacterium. Its description in RNAcentral is "partial 16S ribosomal RNA". It matches the Rfam family "Bacterial small subunit ribosomal RNA", at positions 28 to 507 of the family's 1533-position model. The record is from RNAcentral.